This is a long non-coding RNA of Amphiprion ocellaris (clown anemonefish), 1965 nucleotides long. The record is from Ensembl. Lineage: Eukaryota; Metazoa; Chordata; Actinopteri; Pomacentridae.
UAUAUAUAUAUAUAUAUAUCUCCUAUUCUGUGCCGUGAAGAAAAUGCAGUUCUGAUUAAUUAAUAGGCUCACCAAACACUUUUUUGUUUAGAUCGUUUUUUAAAGACUGAUUUGAAUCUAUGAGUGGACCAGGCUGAGGGAGGCAACAGGACAGAUUUUGAUCUCCAGACAGGAGUUUUCUUUGAGCAAUUGCUAACAGAUUGAUUGUCAGGAGCCAGAAGCAGGAAAGAUGUUCUGCUUGCACAACUUCAAUCAGUUCUCUACCGCAAACAUGGGACAAACUCCGCAGAAGCCUAGUCUAUGUUGUCACCUUGCACUAGUUCUUUUUCUGUAAAACCUGCUCGUAACACUCUCACUAUGUUAUACCUCAUCAUCUAAAGCCUCUCUGCUCUGCCUGCUCUCCCUUAGUUUUAAAUCAAAGAUGGCUGAGUCACAAGGUUUCCACUGACUGUUGAUUUUCCCUUUUCUUUCCAUCAUAACAGUUGUCCAUUAUGCUCUGUGCAAACCUCGACAAGAAUCCCAUGAUUGUGAUGUUUCAGAGCUUCUUUUAUCCCACUUGGGGAGAAUCUCAGAGUUUGAUGUAUGUUGUACAUUAUAUAACUGAGUACACACAGGUACAAAUACACCCUAGUCUGGAGGGAGCUGAUUAUCUGAAGGGCACAGUGAAGGUUUUAAAAUGACUCCCUUAAAAACAGUUCAUGUCUGAAUGUUUGAGAACCAAUCAAGCAAAAAGGCCCUUUCACUCCUUCUCCGAUGCCGUAUGUGAUGUGUUCAAAGCAGAAAGCAGCCUUUUAAUGUGUGGAUCAGAUUUUAUGGAUGGUCUGAUUUGUUGUACUGUCUUUGAAUAAUAUUUUUAAGUUGACAAAUUCCAAAUACCCGGCCUUGAGAUUUUGAGGCAUUAGCAGAAUGCUGUGAAUCACUCAAUACUAAACUGUAUGACUAUACAGAAGCUGAAUGCACUAUACAGGAGAUCUAUUUUUCUGAAUGUAGAGUUGGUACUACCAUAUGGAUGCUGCUGGAUCAAAACAAGAGAAAAAAACUAAUAAAAAAAACCAUUCACACCAACUUAGACAGAAAUAAAUUUAAGGGAGAACAGUAGGCGAGCAAAUACUUUUUUCAUCAUUGCAGUCGCAGUUCUGUUCCAAACACAGAAAGCAACUGGGAUCCCACAACAAGCAUAUUAACAGUAACACAGAAAUAGUACUACCUGCAGCUGCAACUUUUUCCUUUUCCUGAAUACGACUUGAAACACAUGCAGACUCAAACCAUCAGUAAAAUUAAACAAAUGCUACAUGUACACUUACAUACUGUACACAGAUUUAUACAUAUUGCUCUGGAAAGAACAAAUCUUAAAGAUAUAACAAACUAUCCUUCCUGUGAUAUCUGUUCAUUUUAGCCAAUUUUAGUGACAGGAUGAUCAAAACUGCUAACUGUUCCUUGAAAAUGACACAAAACUGACAAGAUACAGAAAGAAAAAAAAGUGCAUCUUUCAGUUCAAUUUCAUCUCCAUAUCUGCAUUAAAAUGAAGAUAUCAUUUGAUCACAAUGAGCAUAUGGUGUCAUCUGUCCAUUUAAUCUUUCUGCAUGUGAUUUAUUUAGUUAUAAUCCUGAAUGUAAUUGUUUAACAUGGAAAUAAUAAAAAAUCUAAUGCUAUUUUAAAGAGGUAUAUUUGAAAAAAAGCUAAUUGUCUUAACUGGUACUGAAAUGACCUACAGUAAUAUAAUACUGGGCUGUGCUUUUCUUGUUUGCCCUAUUAACAUGUUGUUAAGAAGAUGCUGUAUUGGUAGUUCUGUUUGAUUCUCUCUCUCUUUUUUUGCAUCGUAUUAAUCUUAAUUAUGUUUUUCUUCCUCAGCGCAAUAUUCAAUAUCUCUCUGUCUCUUAAAUCUAACUGGUAAAACUAGAACUACUGCAGAUUCAUUGUAAAAGGGAAACAGCCUGGUGAUCAUCAAUUAAAGUACAUUCAAAU